Small nuclear RNA from Callithrix jacchus (white-tufted-ear marmoset), 107 nucleotides. Lineage: Eukaryota; Metazoa; Chordata; Mammalia; Primates; Cebidae. The record is from Ensembl.
AUGCUUGCUUCGGCGGCACAUAUACUAAAAAUGGAACAAUACAGAGAAGAUUAGCAAGGUCCCUGCGCAAGGAUGACACGCAAAUUCGAGAUAUUUAAAAAAAAAAA